AAGAUUCACACUCCGGAUAGAGAAACCACGAUAAUCACACACAAAAAACGUAAAUCGCAUUACCCAAAACAUCUCAUAAUAAUGCAUAAUACACAUUGUGUAUCUAGGUCCCCUCUGUUUUAGUAACCCCGAUUCAGCGCCGACGGUUCGCAAGGCUGCGCCGGCGCCGACCGCGUGGGGUGCGCGCAGUCCGCCCCGAGCCGUCGCACGCGCGCGCCGAGUCGCGCACAUCGAAACUUUUGCUGAUCAGAAACUUUUGAUCUAAUUACAAUCGCGGAACACAAUAAUUAUAACCUCUAAUGACAUGUUUCUACGAAUCAGUCUGUGAAAAAGUUACAAUUAGAUGCUAAACUGACAUCAAAAUUACUUCUCGUGUUUGUGUCGUAACGCAGUUUACAAUCGAAGAGUCUUGAACUUGGGUGCAUCGAGGAAGAUCGUGGGAGCGUGCAACAAUCGACAGUAACAAGAUACUUGCACUGCCUAAUGCCUAUGACAUAUGACUUUCGAACUGCGUCACAUUAGUGAUAUUGCGUGUCUGAUGUACUGAGUCGUUAGUGCAGUGAGUGUUCUGUGGGGAAUUUUGAUAGUGCUGUGUCAAGAGGCGGGAGAAGGGUGCUUAGAAGAUACUGUUUGCUACAAGUGUUCUGAAGUUAUCGAAAUGAACGUUCGAGAAACGAGCAGCUUCAGCAACCAGUUCGAUGUGGUCUAACAUGGUCGCUCCCCGUCGUCCUCCAACCAGCUACAAGCCAAUGAAAAGAAGCAAACCGCCAGACAAGCACCGAACACUAGCACUAUCACAGCUUUAACUGAUGUGACUUCAACACACUACCCCAAAA
Cydia amplana is the source of this 836-nucleotide long non-coding RNA. RefSeq lists it as uncharacterized. The transcript has 3 exons. NCBI's taxonomy places the organism in Eukaryota, Metazoa, Arthropoda, Insecta, Lepidoptera, Tortricidae. The record is from RefSeq and is a predicted model, not a curated record.